Oncorhynchus tshawytscha (Chinook salmon) is the source of this 646-nucleotide long non-coding RNA. The record is from Ensembl. NCBI's taxonomy places the organism in Eukaryota, Metazoa, Chordata, Actinopteri, Salmoniformes, Salmonidae.
GUAAAGGAGCAAGAGCAGGGUAGGGGACGUAAAGGAGCAGGAGGAUGGCAGGGGACGUAAAGGAGCAAGAGCAGGGCAGAGGACGUAAAGGAGCAGGGCAGGGGACGUAAAGGAGCAAGAGCAGGGCAGGGGAUGUAAAGGAGCAGGAGGAGGGCAGGGGACGUAAAGGAGCAGGAGGAUGGCAGGGGACGUAAAGGAGCAGGAUGAUGGCAGGGGACGUAAAGGAGCAGGAGGAUGGCAGGGGACGUAAAGGAGCAGGAGGAGGGCAAGGGACGUAAAGGAGCAGGAGGAGGGCAGGGGAGGUAAAGGACCAGGAGGAGGGCAGGGGACGUAAAGGAGCAGGAGCAGGGCAGGGGACGUAAAGGAGCAGGGAGAUGGGCAGGGGAGGUAAAGGAGCAGGGAGAUGGGCAGGGGAGGUAAAGGAGCAGGGAGAUGGCAGGGGAGGUAAAGGACCAGGAGCAGAGCAGGGGAGGUAAAGAAGCAGGAGGAGGGCAGGGGACGUAAAGGAGCAGGAGGAGGGCAGGGGACGUAAAGGAGCAGGAGGAGGGCAGGGGACGUAAAGGAGCAGGAGGAGGGCAGGGGACGUAAAGGAGCAAGAGCAGGGUAGGGGACGUAAAGGAGCAGGAGGAUGGCAGGGGACUUAAAG